Long non-coding RNA from Prinia subflava (tawny-flanked prinia), 9561 nucleotides. RefSeq lists it as uncharacterized. The record is from RefSeq and is a predicted model, not a curated record. NCBI's taxonomy places the organism in Eukaryota, Metazoa, Chordata, Aves, Passeriformes, Cisticolidae. The transcript has 8 exons.
CCAGGAGCUGGCGGCGGCAGCACGGAGUCGCGGCCAGGAGGUUUCGGGGGGCUUUUUUUGUUACGUUCUCUGGAGAAGUGCGAAGAGGAGGGGGAGGAGAACCAACAGCUUUCCGAAAUUCCCCUUCAGUUGUUUAUUUAUGUACUUCCCGUGUCCAUGAAAAAAGGGUUCGUUUCGCAACUCCGGAGUUUUAUAUUGUUUUCUAUUUACUUUCCCCCUCCUUCUCUUUCGUUUAAAGUUAUCUUUCUUUAUGUCCUGCGUUUACCCGUCUCAUUCCGGCAGAUCAAACUGUCCGAAGACAGAUCUCCAGAGGCUUGUCCUCACUGACAUUCGGGGAAUCCAAACAAAGAGGUGCAUCUACCGGAAAUAAUGAUUUGAGAGAUGGUUCUCUCCCUUUCCACCCCCCACUCCCCCGCCUUGAAUUAAAUUGUUUUCUUUUUCUGGGAGGUUCAGUUUGAGGGAAGUUUUGCUCCGGAGCCGGGGUCGGGGCUGAGGAGGGAUGGAGCAGACGGAAAGUUGCGGCGGGGGGAGGAGGCGGGGGCCGAGGGCAGUGCGGGACCCCGGCGGCGCCCGGACCGCGGGGGGAGCAGGGGCGCGGGGGACCUGCCGCCGCUGCCGGCUCUUUGUCUGCUCGGGCAACUUGAACAAAAGGAGAAACUCGGAUGAACUCUCCAUCUCUCCCUCGCCUCUCUCGGGUUAACUCAUCUUCGGCAACUUUAUCCGAAGAGAUUUACUCAACUUUCUUCGAGCUCUCCCGCCGCUUAAAAGCAAAGAAUCCCGCCGUAGGCUUCUAAGGAAAUCUGGUUACACAGUUUAGAGAAAGGAGAAGGUACGUUUGGACUUGGGGUUUAUUGUUCUUUCCCGGCUCCCUCGCCGUCCCCCCCUCCGCCCUGCCAUCCGCGCCCGGGUCCGGGAGCGCAGCGGAGGCGGCUGCGGGCCAGCCCAGCCUUUCCUUUGUACUUUUGGGAGCACAUGCAGGUAUUUUUGGGGAGGGUAAGGAAGUAAUUCCACCCGAACCCCCGUAAUGCGGGCUGGGGGGCACUACUCAGGGAGGUCUUGCCUCCUUCUUGUGCCUGCUUUGUUUUAUUUUAGAGGUUUAACUUUUUUUUUUCCUUCUUUUUAUUUUUUUUUCUUUUUUCUUUUUUUUCGGAUUUUUUUUGGUGGUGGUGAGGGAAGUGGACUCGAAGGGCUUUCUGGAUCGGGCUGUGUUUUUAAGAGUUGGGACAGAGAAAAGCUGAAGACGGGGAAAACUUGCUGGGAUUGUCGGGAGUCCUGGCGGCCCUGGCCGGGGAGUGAGUGGGGGGCUGGUGGAGGCCGUGGGUCCGGGCAGGGCAGCGCAGCAGGGGCAAGGUGGGGGCUCCGCCGUGUGCCACUACGGCUCCCGGGCCCCAGACACCACGGAGGGGAGCACCUUGCUCCUGUGGGACCAUCCCAGGGAACCACGGUGCGCAGGAGUCCAAGGGACAAUUUUCGGAGAAGCGGGACGGACCAGAGGGAGGACUUUGUUCUUCCGAAUGCAUUGAUCAUAGCGAAGGGGAGAGUGGAAAGGGUCAGUCCAGGCUGGCCCUUCCUCGGCUGGGCUUCAGUGCAAUUCCCUUUGUCCCUUCGGAAACGCAAUAGUUGCAUUGGGUUUUGUUCCAUUCCUUUUGGUUCAUGCUUUCUAGAGCAAGCAUCGCAACUCCAGAAAACUUACUUGUGCGCUCUUUGUACUUUUCUUAAUUACCUUGAUCAAGUUAGUAUCUUAUUAUUUCCCCAUCCUCUUUAUCUGUGCUAUGUAAUAACUGUCCACUUUUCUCUUUUUUCAUCCUAGUCCUCUACUUUCUUUUGUUUUCUUGUCCCAAUUUCCCAAUUGUUCACCUCUUCUUUAGAUCUACCCAUUUCAGAGUAUCUGAAGUCUACUUUCUCACUUUUUAUUGUUUUUGUUCUCCUCAAUCUCUUCCCACCUACUCUUCCACCUUUAUUCUUACUUGCAUUUCUCAUGAAAAACUCCUUUUGCCAGGAUCUUUCCUUUCCUCCAUGUGUAGAAUUGUUCAUUUCUCCUGAUGUGAAGCAAACAUAAAGCUGCUUCUUGUUCUCUUCUAAACCUGUUCUUCUGUGGACUGCCCUACAUCCAUGUUACCCUGUUACGCAGACAGAGCUUCUAGCAAUAAUUCUUGUUCACCAAUGUUCACUUUCUCUUUUCUUCUCAUCUUUGUCCCCACAUACAUGCAUCUCCCAGUCUGUAAAAGCUUCUGCUAGUUCCUCUCCAUUGUCCUUAGUGUGGAAGUUUGUUCUUUUCCCUUUCCCCCACUCCAUCUUGGCAGACUUGAAGCUGUUCUUCACGUCAUUGUUCCCUUCUGUGCAGAGUAUUUUUCUCUCCAUUCCUCAUAGUCCCCUUCCCAACGCAAGUCAAAUUUGCCUUUUGCACCUCUGAGGGAAUUGCACAGAGGGACUAUCAGAGUAGACUGACAUGGGUUUAGCUGCUUUGGCUUCUUCCUGGGCCAGAUGCCAUCAGUGGUGCUCAUAGUUCAGGUCCCAACUGAAGUGACACAUCUGCUGGUGGAAAUGCUGUGGGAAGACACUGCAACAGGGCUAAGGAAGCAGAGAAGAUCAUAUAUGUUUCCCUCAAAAGGGUUGAUGGGUUUUGGUUUUGCUGCUUGGGAUUUUUUUAUUGACUUACUGUUUUCAUUAGUUUUUAAAUACCUGCCAGGGCAGUUGAAGAGCCUUUAUAUUACUUUUUUUUUUUUUUUUUUUUUUUUUUUUUUUUUUUUUUUCCCCCUGACACUUCAGUGCUUUCUGGAAGGUAAGACUGUGCAAUCUAUAGAGGUAUAUGAAAGUCUUUUUCUUAAACCUUCUUCUGUUACACUCCAGCCCCACAAUGUUUUUAAAGCAAAGUGCCAUCACCAGGAUUUGAGUUUAGGAUGUGUCUAAAUCUGUGAAGAAAUUUGUGUUUGAAAUUAUUCGGAAGAAUGUAACUUUAUAUUGUAUGUUAGUCCCCAAGUAGUGUGGCAGACUGUGCUGAACUAACAAUUCUUCCUCAUAUUUGAACAGGUCACAGCAUGAUUGUUGGGAAAAUGGGAUGGUUGCCAGGACAUCAGUCUGUGAUGGGUACCAUAUUGCAUUUCUCUUCGAAUGGUGGAAUACAGCUUGGGAUAAGCAGGGCUGCUCAACAUGGUUCAAACUGGACCAUAGAGCUGCUUAACAUCUUAGCUGUUUGGAUUCAGAGUAAUGGUUAAUGGUCUCCGGGGAGAAGUGGAAGAGCCCUGUGCUGAAACUUGUGGAUAUUGUGGAACAUGCUGCUGAGACCCAUUUGGAUUAUAUCACUGCCUGACACCAAGGUUCUGCAGCUGAUGGAAGGAGUUUACCAGAUCUUUUUAUGUGGUUGCUGGAGAAUUGCCCUGGGACAGCAGUAAUGACGGAUGGACAAACAGAACACACUUCAGGCUUGAGUCCCAGAGAAAUGUGAGGAUUUACACUUCUGAAGUAGAUGUGAGUGGGAUUGAGGGAAUUACAUGGAGGAUUCUGAACUCCCCUACUUCCUGCUCCAGGAAAGACGGAGGCCUGCUCUGAGACCACCUCUGGAUAUGAUCCACCUGUACUACUGAAGCUGGUUAGAAUGGUGUGACAAAUGCCAAUCCAGGACAAGGAGGUUUUGAAGGGACACAAGAGAAACAGAGCCAAAGAAAACACCAGCAAGGAAAGAGGAGAGCAGAGGAGAGGAGGAAACCGAAAUAGCUAUGGAAAUCUGUCAGGGAGUAACCUCAUCAAGUAAGGGUGGUGUGCUGUUACUGCUGCUCAGGGAGGAAAAGGAGGCUGGCAGACCUCUGUGUGGAGAUUCAGAUGGAUCUACCAGCUGUCAAGGCCAACACUGCUGUACAGUCCUUGCUCUCAGCAACAUUCUCAGUGUCCUUGUGAUGGGGUGUCUUGGAAUGACUGUGCAGGUCAAGCUUCACACUACCUCUGCAAUUCAGGUUCUCUGUGCUGCGUGAAGCUGCACUGUUUGGAAGAAGCAAGACUGUCUUUCCUCAGAGCUACGAUGCUACACCGCUUUCGACAGAGCCUGCUUCUCCCUCCAUUUACCUGGGCGGCUGCUGCUCUUUCUGCUGCUGCUGCUGGGGCUGCUGCAGUCUGGCUGCCUGCGCUUCGCCCUGGCUUGGCUGACUCGAAACUCUCUCGUCUGCACAUUGCUAAGGAAGAAAAGCCAUGGAGCCGCGUAUUUUUUUAUUGGUUCUGGAAGCCAAGGGUUGCAAUAUGUGAUGAUUUGGGGGUUUUUUGCGGCGAGGGGGAGGGAGGAGAAAGGAACGGUUUUAAUCUAGGAUAGGGUGGGUGAAAGCUUAAAGAAAUAUUAUGUGAAGUAAUCCAGUGCUCGACAAGGGCAUCAGCAACAAGAAUCCAGCCUCUGCUGCUCCAGAGGAUUAACAUGGGGAAGUCACGGUGCUGCAGUCGGGUUGCACCUCAGUGUUGUGCUGGAGAUGGAUAAAUAAGGUAUCGGUUGCAUCUGCCUGUUAAGGCAAAGCCAAGGGAGAAGGAGAGAGCGAGCGAAUGCAAAUGCAAAGGAAGAAGAAAUGCUGCGUGCCGUUUGUCUGAUUCUGUGGAUUCUCACUGCAUAGGGGAUGGCUUGAUUAACAAAGCAAUGUAUGGACGGAGGGACUGUAAAUCGUAGCUUGAGCACUCCUGGUGCUGUCAGGGAGUGAACUGAUGAGUUACGUGGCUGCAGGAAUAUCCCCAGGGAAAACAGCAGCCUUGCACUCUGUGUGUAUAUCUGUGUAUGUACGUGCUUUUGUGUGUGUGUGAACAUGUUUAGAAAUGAAAGAAAGACAUUUCUGACCAGUUUACGGAGGACGCUUGUCAGUUUGCUGGGUCAGACUUGAUUGCAGCUUGUAUUUUCAGCUCUAGCUCUACACCCAUUUCCUGACUGAGGUGGCACUUUGUGAAAACAGAUGGUAGGCAGUAUUCUUUUAAGAAAUGUGAAAGCAGAUCCUUUCCACUUAACACCUUGAAGCACUGAGUCUUCUGCACGGUGCUGAGACAAACCAUGGGAUUUCAUUUUCUCCAUCUUAAAAUCUCUAUAAACACAGCUGUAUUCAGUAUGGUGAAAAAUUCUAUACUGUAAAUAGAAAUGUGAUCAAUCUAAUCAAAAUAAAUGUAUCCCAGAUGACUUCUAGACCAGCUGGCUACCACAGUCAUCAGAUGACUAAAUCCUCAACUGAUCAUUUGUAUUCCAUGUUAUACUUGCAUCUUUUUCUUUAUCCCUCUUUUUUCUUAUGUUUUCAAAAUCAGCCGCUAAUUGAAAAGGAUUCUUCAUAUAUUGAGAAAAGGCAAUGCUUGCAUUUGGCAAUUGAUUUCUGUGAAAUCUAGCUGGGUGUAUGUUUAAUUGUGGAAUCUGCUUGGGGUGGUUUUAGAGCAGGUAGGCUUGUCACAGUACAGGCAUAUUUCAUUUGGUAGGUAGCUCAGCUUGGCCAUAUCUGAACAAUGCAGAAACAGGGAAAACAAGCAUUGCACUCAGCUAGCAGGACUUGGCAUGGAUUCUAGCAGCUGCCUACCAAGAAAGACAGGGUUUUUUCCUUUCGUUUUUUUCCCUUUUGUACAAAGCCAUAGACCAUAAUACCACACUAAAAUGUGUAUGAGGGGAUUUCCCAAUAGUCAUGGUGAGCUACCCUGCAAGACACUCGUCUGGUCCUUCCACUGUCUGUUUCCCAACCUACAAAGGCAGCCCUGUGUGUUGAAUUGUAUUUAGCCAGCUGUUGGAUAGCAUUCUUGUGCUGGGGGGCUAAGGAGUCUUAUUACUCCCAAACUGUAGUUUUCUAUUUGCUUAAAGAAAAAUAUCUUUGGCAAUACAGCAGGCUGUGCAAAGGAGUUUAUGCCACUCCUAUACCUUUCUGAAUCUGUUGUGUGCUUCUAACUGGGGCAGUUUGAAGCAAGGAAGGAGGGAGGAGGAGAGACACUGAACUCGCAGCUUCAAAGCUGCAGAGACGAACAAAAUGUCAGCGGCUUGUAAUUAGGAGCCCACGGUUACGUCAGUGACUGUAUCUCUCCAAGAACUGCUAUGUGAUGUGUGCCACAAAGCAAAGGAAGACUCUCACAACCUGGUUAACAAGCCUGGCUCGAACAAGAAAGAGCAAAAUGGAUUAAUGAAUCUGCUGUGUUCCUAAGUCAUAUGUGGAUGGAUUACAUGCAUAAGGUUUGCUGAAUUCUGCAGCAGUGAAGACUGAAUUAUGGCAUGCAUUCACCAAAAGUGCAAAUCCUUCAGGAAAAAAUGCAGAUGAACAGUCUCUCCUUGAAAAUUUCUUUCCUAGCUCUGUCCUGUACAGGCAACUGCAUGACAUGGAGGCGUCCUCUGAAGGAAGAGACUGGCGAGCUGCACAAAGGUGUUUAAAAGGAAGGGUGCAAUUAAACACAAAGCAAGCCUGCUGAAACUCUGUUCUGGCAUUACAGAUCGGAUACUGCAAUACCACCCCAGAGGAGACCGGCUGGGCUCUGGUGUGGUUUAUAUUAAGGCUUUUCUGUUUAAGAGCGAGGGGGGAGGGACAGGGUUUCCUGCAGCAUCUUGCAGCCAUGCAGAAGUCCCCAGGGCUGUGGGAAGCAGGAGGGAUGGAUGUGCUCUUAAAGACACAUGCCCAGAUCCUGCCAAGGGAAUUUCUGACCUCUGCAAUUAUUUUUAGGUCUGUGAAGGCAACUCGGCAGUGCUUAAGCAGUGAGAUUGCAGGGGGUGUUUAAUCUGCUGCGACUGUCCUUUCUGUGUGUCAUGGCUGGGAGAGGUUCGUAGGGCUUCUUUCAAUACCCCUCCACCACAUCCAGCAUGCAUGCCUGUCACUGUUCCCAAAGACCAGUUACAGAGGUCUGGUGUGGGUCCCUGCUCCCAGCAGAAGUCACUUGCAGUUCAACAACUCUGUUGUAGUUGCUCUUUAAUUUACCAGGAUAGGUAGAUUGUAUCACACAAACAGUGGGGGUGGGUGGUUUUUGGUUUGGUUUUGGUUUGGGAUUUUUUUUUUUUUUUGACUGAGAGCACAAAUUUGUAGGAGGAGAUGACUCUGUAUAUUAAACCAAUAGCUCUUUGAAUUGUGUGUAGUAUAAUUUAAAUAUACUUACUUUAAUUAAUAGAAGGGUUCAAAAGCUGGCAUUGUCUGGGGCUGUUUAAUUUACAUCUUAGGUUUAGUCAAUGGGCAUAACCUGCCUGAUUAGAAUGGUGUAUUCUGCACAGCCAACAGGGUGGAAGCCAUUAUUUUGUUUGUGUUAGUUCAAACAGCUGGUCAUUAAUGCAGGCCCCAUCUCCAGAGUGAAGUGCUAGUGGACAUGAAUGGCUGCCUGAUUAAUGCUGCCCCUCGACGGGUCCUCCAUCCAGCAGCGAUGCUCGCAGCAGAAUAAUGCAGCGGGAUUUGAUUGCGCUCUAACAGGGUAGUAUGUCAUUGUGUCACCAAGCCAUUGGGGUUAUUAUGGGCUAGGGCAGACAGACGGGACAGUGGGGUUACUAGACCGUGGCAUUUUUAGAAAUGCAGGGCUGACCUACUUAGAGUUAUUCUUGCUGGCUGGCAGCUGCCUGGUGCGGGGCUCCCCCGGAUAGGCUGCGGCUGUUGCUAGGGGGAAUUAGCAUGAAUUUUUCCACAUACAGACUCAGUGAUUGAAUGAUAAAAGCUGACUGGAAUUAAAGAGAUUCGGUUCAGUAUUAUGCAGAUUUAUCUCCCUCAUUUUUUUUUCUUUCUGUCAAAUGCAUAAAAAGGAGCAGAAAACAGUUUAUUUCCAUUUAUUUUUGACCUAUAUUUUUUUUCCAAGGGAGGGCAGAAGUGUUGUGAAUUUUUGGUCAUAAUUUAAUAUUUAGGCCAUUGAAAUGAUAUGAUAGGGGGCAUGCAUCUUUAAUGUAUGGGAGAUUAAAAUGCUGCCUCUCUGGAAUGGAAUGAAAUGAAUAUAUUUUGUGUUCUGGUCUGGCUGCCACCUCUUCUUAUUUGAAGCCAUGUCAGAUUCCUUCAUUUGGAAAAGGGAAACAUAUACCAGGUUUUAUUGCAUAACAUUACUCUUAGCUAUUUUUAGCUAUCUGUACUUCAAAAAAAUUAGUCCUGUUUAUGCUAGUGGGUGAAAUUAAUCCUCAGGCUAUGCCUUAUGUAUGUGGAGACAGACGCCCAGGGUAGCUGCAGUGUUGUGUGUCAUGUUCAUCUGAAAAGGUGUUUACAUAUUGCAGGCUUAUCAGCACUGCAUACCUAGCAGAGUGCUGAUGCCUGACAUGUAAUCAGAUCAAUUAGAGAACUCUUCUGGAUUUCAGAGUAUUUUUCAGGCCCUGGUUUGAAGUUGGAUUCUCUACAUGGCCUUCUUUUAUUUACCUACAUCUGCCUAAAACAGUGUUAUCUUUUCAGAGAACUCUGUGCUCCCUUAGGAAGCAAAUAAAAACAAUACUCAGUGAAGAAUCCUUUGAUGUAAUCAUGAAUAUUUCCUUUGUUAUUAUCACUAAUUAUAGAAGAUCUUUGUUUAAACUGCUAUUUCCCUCUGUGUGAUCUUUUACCAUGCAAAGAAGUUCCAAUUUAGUGCUUAUAAUUUUAAGUUAAAUAUUCAUGGCAAUGCAUCAUGACAUCACACUGACAGAAGUGGGAAUUUUCAAAAUAUGAGGCAGUGGGGGAUGGGAGAGAAGGACCUACAUGUCUUUGGAAUUCCAAAAUAAAAUAUGUGACUCAGUGUUGAAAAACAGUGAACUCAUUUUUGCCUGAAACAGUUUAAUUUCAAAUACUUGGAUGAAUGACAUAUCUUUUAGAGGAGUGUGAACAGCUUGCACACCUGAGGUACCUUUUAGAGGAGUGUGAGCUGCCUGUGCAUCUCAUCACUGAACAGCUAGCUGCUUCCCUGGAACCAGAGCUGUCCUGCCUUGGCCUCUGGAAUUUAUGGGGAAAGUAUAAAAAAAUGAAACCAGAAAUGGAGACAUGAAUUUGAAUGCAUUUUGUGGCUGAGGCAAAGCAUUCAGUUCCUACAGAGCUGAAUUUCCUACGUCUUUUUCCUGGCAUUGAUUCAUUACCGAAACUCACACCACUUCCUUCUCUGCUCCUUCCUGACAGUCUCAUGGAGUGACAGAUUUUUAAAGAAGUGAAAGUGAGGAGGGGUACUGUUUGAUGCCCAGUAAUUGUGUUUGCUUUGUCUGUCCUUGGAGGUUACUCCAGAAAGUUGUGGUCCCACUUCCCUCAGCAAUAUUCUCUUGAUCAAAAUCUGAUAUCCUGCUCCACUUUCCUGCAGGAUGCUGCAGGAUGCUAGGCAACAGACAACCUUCACCUACAAUUGUCUCUUGAGGUUUUUGCCCUUGUUGGUUAUAACCAGUUGUAGUUUCAUCCAGUUCACCUGAACUGAUAUUAGCUAACUUGGGCUUCAGCAAAUCAAAAUAAGCAUGCAUUACUAUAUUAAUGUAGUACCCCAUUUUCUAGAAAAAAAGAAUUUGAGUGUUUGGUAUAUUUGAGCUAAAAGAGAGGGAGUUCAAAGAAAAGCAACAAACAAGAUAAAGCACAUACUCCUGGAAAAGAAUUGUGUCCUUGGUGUUUAUCUGGAUUUCAACAGAGUUUGUUUAUAAAAAUCAUCAAAUGAGACAGUUUAACAAAUCAUCAAGUGACAUAU